This 506-nucleotide ribosomal RNA is filed under the name uncultured bacterium. RNAcentral's name for it is "bacterial SSU rRNA". It matches the Rfam family "Bacterial small subunit ribosomal RNA", at positions 12 to 507 of the family's 1533-position model. The record is from RNAcentral.
UUUGAUCAUGGCUCAGAGUGAACGCUGGCGGCAGGCCUAAUACAUGCAAGUCGAAACGGCAGCACAGCAGAGCUUGCUCUGUGGGUGGCGAGUGGCGGACGGGUGAGGAAUACGUGGGAAGUCUGCCCAGUCGUGGGGAUAACGUAGGGAAACUUACGCUAAUACCGCAUGCGCCCUUCGGGGGAAAGCCGGGGACCUUCGGGCCUGGCGCGAUUGGAUGAGCCCACGUCGGAUUAGCUAGUUGGCGGGUAAAGGCCCACCAAGGCGACGAUCCGUAGCUGGUCUGAGAGGAUGAUCAGCCACACUGGAACUGAGACACGGUCCAGACUCCUACGGGAGGCAGCAGUAGGGAAUAUUGGACAAUGGGCGCAAGCCUGAUCCAGCCAUGCCGCGUGAGUGAAGAAGGCCCUCGGGUUGUAAAGCUCUUUUGUCCGGAAAGAAAAGCGCCGGGUUAAUACCCUGGUGUCCUGACGGUACCGGAAGAAUAAGCACCGGCUAACUUCGUG